CUGGUGCAGCAUGACCCUUAGAGAGCACAAAACGGUCGUUGUUGGCAUUCCUGGGAUCUUGUACCUUAUACCUCAUGGUAUGGAAAAACAGCACAGACAUAAUCUCUGCUGCGCUGCAACAUGAUGUAGGGUGGCCCGAGCCGGCCGCGGUCGUGGCCUUGAUGGAGCCGAUGCGCAGCCGGUUGGCCGUGUCCUUCAGGGCCUGCAGGGUCUGCUGGUCGGGUUUGUGGUAGUCCUCCAUGGGGCCGAAGGAGAGGCGGCGAGGCUCGUGCGGCAGUGGCUGCUGGGGCUGGGCAGGGACGGCGGUGCUCCGCAAGGGCUGUGAGCAGCGCGCCUCAGAGGGACUGCGUGCUGAGGGCGGGGAGAAAGAGGGCCGGGCCGCCCCGCCUCCCUGCGCCGGCACAGCGCCCCCUGCCGGCGGGAGGCGGCGUCAGGCAGCUGCGCGCAGGCGCAGUAUGAUCUACUUCUCCCUCCCGUCUGCGAGAAGGCGGGAAGUAGUGGCUCUUCACAGUUGCGCGCGGUAGGCCGCAUCUGGAAGCCUCCCCUCAGCGCUCGGAAGGACCAACUCAAGCUUUUCCAUCGUUCAAUCCUUGUUAGACAAAGCUAUUCUAAGGCUGUAUUUGUUUGAGAAAGAAUAUCACUGCAUCAAGUACGAUCUUCUACAGACAGGAGAAACUGUAGCAGAACUGCUAUAUGCUAUUUCUUUUCAAGAAAGAAUUCACAGUUCUCUAAUACAUACCCAAAAAUCAGAGCUUUCCACAUUUGAGAAAUAUAGAAACUUCAGCUUAAAAUACUGACUUCACCAGCUAUCGAUCAGAAAAUACGUUGCCUCUAGCACUGCUGAACAGGAGGAUGCCAAAAUAAUUAAAGCUACAGCCUUAAGUGAGCGCAUUAAAUAUUACAUACUUGUUCUAGAAAGCUCUGGGAGUAUUAGAAGUCACAAUCUGAGGAAAAAGAAAGCAGUUUAAAACCACAGAAAACAAAAAAAAUGAAGUACUCCAUGCUCAAGAAAUCCUUAUCUGUGCUCUGCGUUCUCAAAGGAUUUCAGCGCUGCAUUCAGUGAUAGUUUGUCUCAGCAGCUGUAUUACAGUGUUUGAAAAGGUAAUAUAUUUUAAACCAUGUUUUAAAUAUAAACAGUUACACCGUGGAUAUAAUGUUGCUGUCUCGUUUUGGAAGACACUACUGGUGGGUACUGUAUAAGAAAACAGCACAUUUGCUUUCAAGACUACCUGUUUCAGCAACAAGGAAACCACCUGUGUUAGUAAUGUAGCCGUGUGCGUUUGGCAAAUGCCAGCUGGUCAGCAGCACCUGAAACUGACCAAGGGAAGGCAAAAUAUUCCUCCAUAAACAAAGCAGUUUAUUGGUGUAAUUUUGUUGUUGUUGUUGCUAUUCUAACUGUUACAAACAAGAAACAACAACAACAACAAAAACCUCUGAGUAGAUACUACAUUGGGAAUAGGUUAUGUACCAGGAAGAAGGAAGAAAUGGAGCCAAACCUGACAGUAGCGAAGUGCAGGGUUCAUUUCAGACAGCACUAGAUAAAGGUUAGCUGGUGUGACUGCCACUUGCUUUGUUCCAGUCUAUAUCCUACUUCAAACUGUAAUGCUUUAUUCUUGUGGAACCA
Molecule: long non-coding RNA, 1624 nt
Filed under: Gallus gallus (chicken)
Lineage: Eukaryota; Metazoa; Chordata; Aves; Galliformes; Phasianidae
Source: RNAcentral